UAGGGAAUCUUCGGCAAUGGACGAAAGUCUGACCGAGCAACGCCGCGUGAGUGAAGAAGGUUUUCGGAUCGUAAAACUCUGUUGUUAGAGAAGAACAAGGACGUUAGUAACUGAACGUCCCCUGACGGUAUCUAACCAGAAAGCCACGGCUAACUACGUGCCAGCAGCCGCGGUAAUACGUAGGUGGCAAGCGUUGUCCGGAUUUAUUGGGCGUAAAGCGAGCGCAGGCGGUUUCUUAAGUCUGAUGUGAAAGCCCCCGGCUCAACCGGGGAUGGUGAUUGGAAACUGGGGGACUUGAAUGCAGAAGAGGAGAGUGGAAUUCAAUGUGUAGCGGUGAAAUGCGUAGAUAUAUGGAGGAACACCAGUGGCGAAGGCGGCUCUCUGGUCUGUAACUGACGCUGAGGCGCGAAAGCGUGGGGAGCAAACAGG
Molecule: ribosomal RNA, 429 nt
Filed under: Gemmatimonadota bacterium
Lineage: Bacteria; Pseudomonadati; Gemmatimonadota
Description: Gemmatimonadetes bacterium partial 16S ribosomal RNA
Rfam family: Bacterial small subunit ribosomal RNA
Source: RNAcentral